CUAAUUACUACUUACUACAAUUAAAUAUUACAUUGUAAUUAGUAUUAUAAUUUUCACUGUUAUUAAUAGUUAGAUAAGUCAUACAAAUCUUAUCUUGAAUUUCAUUCAAAUUCUUUCUUGAAUUUCGGAACACGUUUUAGAAAUUUAAUUGUGAUGUCACGUCACUUUGGGUGGUGCAACAACUAUGGCUAACACGACUGUGAUUGUCAUGUUUUCGUUUUUAUUCUUUAGCUAGUCA
This 238-nucleotide long non-coding RNA is filed under the name Mytilus galloprovincialis (Mediterranean mussel). Lineage: Eukaryota; Metazoa; Mollusca; Bivalvia; Mytilida; Mytilidae. The record is from RNAcentral.